Molecule: ribosomal RNA, 305 nt
Filed under: uncultured bacterium
Lineage: Bacteria
Description: bacterial SSU rRNA
Rfam family: Bacterial small subunit ribosomal RNA
Source: RNAcentral
AUUGAACGCUGGCGGCAUGCCUUACACAUGCAAGUCGAACGGCAGCACGGGGGCAACCCUGGUGGCGAGUGGCGAACGGGUGAGUAAUGCAUCGGAACGUGCCCAGUAGUGGGGGAUAACUAGUCGAAAGAUUAGCUAAUACCGCAUACGACCUAUGGGUGAAAGCGGGGGAUUCGCAAGAACCUCGCGCUAUCGGAGCGGCCGAUGUCUGAUUAGCUAGNGGGCGGGGUAAGGCCCACCAAGGCUUCGAUCAGUAGCUGGUCUGAGAGGACGACCAGCCACACUGGGACUGAGACACGGCCCAG